Molecule: long non-coding RNA, 549 nt
Filed under: Mytilus galloprovincialis (Mediterranean mussel)
Lineage: Eukaryota; Metazoa; Mollusca; Bivalvia; Mytilida; Mytilidae
Source: RNAcentral
GUACUAGUUUGUGCCUAAAAGCUUGGCACAAGUUGUCUACACUUUAUGACAUUUUGUUGAACUUUGCUUUACAUAUUACCGGAGGUAAAUUUAAAAUAUAUUGCUUAAAAUUGAAGGAGAAAAGUUUUAAAGUAAAGAACAGUUUAAGAAUAAUUGCAUAUAAAAUAUUAUUUACAGAAGAUCCUAAAUACAUUAAAUAAAUUAAUAAACUAUCAAAUAAAAUAAAACUGAGGAUUUUCUUAUUCCAAGAUAAGGUUACCUUAGCCGUAUUUGGCGCACAUUUUUGGAAUUUUGGGUCCUCAAUGCUCUUCAACUUUGUACUUGUUUGGCUUUACAAUACUAUUUACACGACUGGGUCGAUGCCACUGCUGGUGGACGUUUCGUCCCCUAGGGUAUCACCAGCCCAGUAGUCAGCACUUCGGUGUUGACACGAAUAUCAAUUAUAUGAUCAUUUUUUAUAAAUUUCCUGUUACAAAACUUUGAAUAUGCACUUGCAUACAGAAAUAUAAUAUAGUAAAUAUGAUUAAACUGUUCGGUCAAAGACUGAAG